Molecule: ribosomal RNA, 550 nt
Filed under: uncultured bacterium
Lineage: Bacteria
Description: bacterial SSU rRNA
Rfam family: Bacterial small subunit ribosomal RNA
Source: RNAcentral
ACGGUUUUGUGGGAGCUUGCUCCUGCAAGAUAGUGGCGGACGGGUGAGUAACACGUGGAUAACCUGCCUCAUACAAAGGAAUAACGCGCAGAAAUGCACGCUAAAACCUUAUAAGCUCACAGCCCGGCAUCGGAGAGUGAGAAAAUAUUUAUAGGUAUGAGAGGGGUCCGCGUCUGAUUAGCUAGUUGGAGGGGUAACGGCCCACCAAGGCGACGAUCAGUAGCCGGCCUGAGAGGGUGAACGGCCACAUUGGGACUGAGACACGGCCCAAACUCCUACGGGAGGCAGCAGUGGGGAAUAUUGCGCAAUGGGGGAAACCCUGACGCAGCAACGCCGCGUGAAGGAAGAAGGCUUUCGGGUUGUAAACUUCUAUCGACGGGGAAGAAAAAAAUGACGGUACCCGAGUAAGAAGCACCGGCUAAAUACGUGCCAGCAGCCGCGGUAAUACGUAUGGUGCAAGCGUUAUCCGGAAUUACUGGGCGUAAAGGGUGAGUAGGCGGUCAAUUAAGUCAUAUGUGAAAAUCCAGGGCUCAACCCUGGACUUGCAUAA